AAGUUGUUGCAGUUAAAAUUCUCGUACUUGGACUUUGGGAUGGGCCGGCCGGUCCGCCUUAGGUGUGCACCUUUCGUCUCAUCCCUUCUGCCGGCGAUGCGCUCCUGGCCUUAAUUGGCCCGGUCGUGCCUCCGGCGCUGUUACUUUGAAGAACUUAGAGUGCUCAAAGUAAACCUACACUCUGUAUACAUUAGCAUGGGAUAACAUUAUAGGAUUUCGGUCCUAUUACGUUGGCCUUCGGGAUCGGAGUAAUGAUUAACAGGGACAGUCGGGGGCAUUCGUAUUUCAUUGUCAGAGGUGAAAUUCUUGGAUUUAUGAAAGACGAAUAACUUCUUUUUUAUUUUCAUUUUUCUGAGCCGAGGGUCUAUCAGAAAUAGCCUCUCUGCCCUAUCGGGUAGGGGUAAGGUCUGCGUACACAUUACCCUCCCCAGACCCCACCUGGUGGGAUUUUACUGGGUAGUUGUUUUUGUUGUUAUUGUUAUUGUAUGAAAGACGAACAACUGCCAAAUCAUUUCCCAAGGAUGUUUUCAUUAAUCAAGAACGAAAGUUGGGGGCUCGAAGACGAUCAUAUACCGUCCUAGUCACAACCAUAAAUGAUGCCGACCAGGGAUCGGCGGAUGUUGGUUUUAGGACUCCGUCGGCACCUUAUGAGAAAUCAAAAUUUUUGGGUUCCG
Molecule: ribosomal RNA, 674 nt
Filed under: Nicotiana attenuata
Lineage: Eukaryota; Viridiplantae; Streptophyta; Magnoliopsida; Solanales; Solanaceae
Description: rRNA SSU_rRNA_eukarya
Rfam family: Eukaryotic small subunit ribosomal RNA
Source: RNAcentral